This 27-nucleotide non-coding RNA is filed under the name Homo sapiens (human). The record is from RNAcentral. Lineage: Eukaryota; Metazoa; Chordata; Mammalia; Primates; Hominidae.
UGAACAGGGCAGAGGUUGGAGGUGGAU